RNAcentral lists this ribosomal RNA (500 nucleotides) under uncultured Myrionecta. RNAcentral describes it as "bacterial SSU rRNA". It matches the Rfam family "Eukaryotic small subunit ribosomal RNA", at positions 1212 to 1799 of the family's 1831-position model. The record is from RNAcentral. Lineage: Eukaryota; Ciliophora; Litostomatea; Cyclotrichida; Mesodiniidae.
AACUUACCAGGUCAAGACAUGGGCGUGAUUGACAGGCUAAUGACUUUUCUCGAUUCCAUGGAUGGUGGUGCAUGGUCGCACUUAGUUGGUGCAGUGAUUUGUCAGGUUUAUUCCGGUAACGAACGAGACCUCGGCCUUGUAAAUAGCUAUGCUGCUUACAGGGACAUUGGCGGCUACGCCAAGGAAGCUCGAGGCAAUUGCAGAUCUGGAAUGCCCUUAGAUGUCCUGGGUCGCACGCGUGCUACAAUGACGCCACGAACGAGCUUGCGUGAUGAAAGUUACGCAUAAUCAGCAGUCGGCGUCUUAAGGGAUAGUCUCUUGUAACUGUGGGACUCCAACUAGGAAUGUCUCGUAAGCACAAGUCAACAUCUUGUGUUGAUUACGUCCCUGCUCUUUGUACACACCGCCCGUCGCUCCUACCGAUCGAGUGUUUAGGUGAAUUUGAUGGACGUAAGGAAGUCAAAUAAACCUGAGCACUAGAGAAGAGAAGUCGAGCAUGU